Molecule: long non-coding RNA, 344 nt
Filed under: Carica papaya (papaya)
Lineage: Eukaryota; Viridiplantae; Streptophyta; Magnoliopsida; Brassicales; Caricaceae
Description: long non-coding RNA (CPAP_LNC000736)
Source: RNAcentral
UGUCGAAUUUUAAUUGAUCAAGAGGGAAUCGGUCAACUUUGAUAAUAAGUUUAAUCCCUAUGUUGUCAUUUCUUAUAAUGACUAAAUUAGGACCUUCACCACGACAAUUGAAUGAAAGAAGAAAAGAGUUUCUUAUGUCAUUCAUUAGUAAGUUAUAAUUGACAUGAAACAUGGUUAGUUACCUAAUGAGAUUUGACAGUUAAGCCAUAUGCUAGGAUAAAAGCAAUUUGGUCCCUCAAAUUUGUCUCCCUCUCAUUCAAUCAAACAGCUGGGGAUAUUGGACUCUGAAGUCUGAUUCUAACUCCCAUGUGACCUCUCUCUGUGUGUGAUUCUGCCAUAGUACC